This 529-nucleotide ribosomal RNA is filed under the name uncultured bacterium. Its description in RNAcentral is "bacterial SSU rRNA". It matches the Rfam family "Bacterial small subunit ribosomal RNA", at positions 980 to 1509 of the family's 1533-position model. The record is from RNAcentral.
CUUGACAUCCAGAGAAUUUAGCAGAGAUGCUUUAGUGCCUUCGGGAACUCUGAGACAGGUGCUGCAUGGCUGUCGUCAGCUCGUGUUGUGAAAUGUUGGGUUAAGUCCGCAACGAGCGCAACCCUUAUCCUUUGUUGCCAGCACGUAAUGGUGGGAACUCAAAAGAGACUGCCGGUGAUAAACCGGAGGAAGGUGGGGAUGACGUCAAGUCAUCAUGGCCCUUACGAGUAGGGCUACACACGUGCUACAAUGGCGUAUACAAAGAGAAGCGACCUCGCGAGAGCAAGCGGACCUCAUAAAGUGCGUCGUAGUCCGGAUUGGAGUCUGCAACUCGACUCCAUGAAGUCGGAAUCGCUAGUAAUCGUAAAUCAGAAUGUUACGGUGAAUACGUUCCCGGGCCUUGUACACACCGCCCGUCACACCAUGGGAGUGGGUUGCAAAAGAAGUAGAUAGCUUAACCUUCGGGAGGGCGUUUACCACUUUGUGAUUCAUGACUGGGGUGAAGUCGUAACAAGGUAAGCGUAGUGCU